This 1542-nucleotide ribosomal RNA is filed under the name groundwater metagenome. RNAcentral describes it as "bacterial SSU rRNA". It matches the Rfam family "Bacterial small subunit ribosomal RNA". The record is from RNAcentral.
AGGGUUUGAUCCUGGCUCAGAGCGAACGCUGGCGGCGUGGAUUAGGCAUGCAAGUCGAGCGAUCUAUAGGGGCAACUCUAUGGAUAGCGGCAAAAGGGUGCGUAACACAUGGGUAAUCUACCUCUAAGACUGGGAUAACAUCCCGAAAGGGGUGCUAAUACUGGAUAAGCUCACGCCUCGAUGCGAAUCGGGGAGGGAGAAAAGCAGGGGACCGUAAGGCCUUGCACUGAGAGAGGAGCCCGUGUCCUAUCAGCUAGUUGGUGAGGUAACGGCUCACCAAGGCGAUGACGGGUAGCUGGCUUUAGAGAGUGGUCAGCCACACUGGGACUGAGACACUGCCCAGACUCCUACGGGAGGCUGCAGUCGAGGAUCUUUGGCAAUGAGCGAAAGCUUGACCAUGCGACGCCGCGUGAAGGAUGAAGGCCUUCGGGUCGUAAACUUCUUUAGACAGGGAAGAAUGUCAUUGGAGCGAAUACCUCCAGUGAGCGACGGUACCUGUAGAAUAAGCCACGGCUAACUCCGUGCCAGCAGCCGCGGUAAUACGGAGGUGGCAAGCGUUGCUCGGAUUUAUUGGGUGUAAAGGGUGUGUAGGCGGCUUAGUAAGUCGGGUGUGAAAUCCCGGAGCUUAACUCCGGAACUGCAUUCGAAACUGCUUUGCUAGAGUUCGGUAGAGGAGAGGGGAAUUCCCGGUGUAAGGGUGAAAUCUGUAGAUAUCGGGAGGAACACCAGUGGCGCAAGCGCCUCUCUGGGCCGAUACUGACGCUGUGACACGAAAGCUAGGGGAGCAAACAGGAUUAGAUACCCUGGUAGUCCUAGCCGUAAACGAUGUGGACCAGGUGUCGGUGGAGAAAUCUGCCGGUGCCGGCGCUAACGCAUUCAGUCCACCACCUGGGGAGUACGGCCGCAAGGUUGAAACUCAAAGGAAUUGACGGGGACCCGCACAAGCGGUGGAGCAUGUGGUUUAAUAGGAUGCUAAGCCUAGAACCUUACCUGGGCUUGACAUGUAGGAAGUAGAAACCUGAAAGGGCAACGACCCGUAUCCAGUCGGGAACUUACACAGGUGUUGCAUGGCUGUCGUCAGCUCGUGCCGUGAGGUGUUAGGUUAAGUCCUGCAACGAGCGCAACCAUCGUCCUUAGUUGCUACCCGAAAGGGGCACUCUAGGGAGACUGCCGGUGGUAAACCGGAGGAAGGUGGAGAUGACGUCAAGUCAGUACGGCCCUUACGCCCAGGGCCACACACGUGCUACAAUGCACGGUACAAAGGGUUGCCAACCCGCGAGGGGGAGCUAAUCCCAAAAAACCGUGCCCAGUUCAGAUUGAAGGCUGCAAUUCGCCUUCAUGAAGCCGGAAUCGCUAGUAAUGGUGGAUCAGCUACGCCGCCGUGAAUACGUUCCCGGGUCUUGUACACACCGCCCGUCAAGCCACCUGAGUUGAUUGCACCCGAAGCCGAUGAUUCAACCCGCAAGGGAGAUAGUCGUCUAUGGUGUGGUUGGUAAGGGGGGCUAAGUCGUAACAAGGUAGCCCUACGGGAACGUGGGGCUG